RNAcentral lists this unclassified non-coding RNA (10745 nucleotides) under Anthonomus grandis grandis. Its description in RNAcentral is "ephrin-A4". The record is from RNAcentral. Lineage: Eukaryota; Metazoa; Arthropoda; Insecta; Coleoptera; Curculionidae.
CGAAGUCGUCAGUCGCGUUGUUCGUACGUACGAACGCGGAUUGCCAGGCUGACAUUGCGGCUCGUGUACGUUCGCUUCCCACCCGGACAUUCCCGACGCGAAUUUUCAUAUGAAAUAAUCAUGUUUAGUGUGGAUUACAGUGUGCCGAUCGGAAGGAACGAUGGACUUUAUUAAAUGUCGUAGUGCCCUUUUGGAUUAAAAUUUAAUUAAAAUAAAAUUAUGGUGUUGGUGCAAUUAUGUUGCUACUUGCGAGUAGUGAUCUGUCUGUGAUAUUUUGUUACAGUGGAGGGUGAUUUAUUCGGUAUGCAGGCGAUUUUAGGAUAUUUUAUGCCCUCGUUGCAUCGGGUUACCGGUAAGGGCUGGCCGGGCCCGCUGCACCUGAAGCGGCCACCGCCAGGUGGCGCCGCAGACUCGCCCCACUCCUCGGACCACCACAAAAUGGGGCUCUGGCCCCCCGGACUUUGUUGUACCAACGUCCUCAGGACGGUGGUGAUAGUAUUAUUUAGUUUACAAGCGUUCGUGUUAGCGACCGCGGCGCCAUCUAGCGCGCGAUUUUACACGAUACACUGGAACUCAUCGAAUCCGAUUUUCCGGAUCGACAAUACCGAUAACAUUAUAGAUGUAAAUAGGAAUAAUUUAAAAUUUGAAUAUGAUCAGGUAAACCUGAUCUGUCCGGUGUAUACUCCAGGAACGCGAGACGACGAAAUGGAGAAAUACAUAAUUUACAACGUGUCCAAGGACGAAUACGAGACGUGUAGGAUAACGAAUCCUAAUCCUAGGAUCAUCGCGGUCUGCGAUAAGCCUUAUAAGCUCAUGUACUUUACCAUUACGUUUAGGCCAUUUACACCUCAGCCUGGCGGGUUGGAAUUCUUACCAGGGCACGACUACUACUUCAUUUCCACGUCGACUUCGGACGAUCUCCACAGGCGGAUAGGGGGCAGGUGUACCACCCAUAACAUGAAGAUCGUCUUUAAAGUGUGGGGAAUGCCCGCCCAGAGUCCCACCCAGCCGCCCACGCAACCGCCUACGCAAUCGCCGCCAAGACUAUGGUGGUCAGUGACCCCGCCAAGACCUACCCCGCCUACAAACCCUACCACGACCAGUCGAAGUACCGUAUCAACGACGAAGAAAUCGAAGGCCUACAACAAACACCCCAACGAAGUGGUGAAGAGCGAGGAGCUGACGCUAGGUGGCGCCUCGAGCGCCUCGGUGCUACUCUCGAACACUAUUUUGCUCUGUGUGAUCGCGCUCAGGGCGCUACAGUCUAUGCGAUGAAUGUUCUCUUAAUUUUUUUUAACAAAUAGACUGUACAAAAAAAAGUGAUAUUAACGUGUAAGAAGUCGUGAAUUGUUGUUGUCGCCUUCCCAGCCCACAGCCACCGCCACUAUUCCCGGCAUUUUUGUGAACACUGGUGUUUAUAGUGGUGUCCCAAUUUGUUGUUAUACGGGUUGUUUUUGUGACUGUUUUAAUGUUUUUUUUUUGUGAUUAUUACAGUGUUAAAUAGUGCGAAGAAACUUAUCGACCUAUGGUGCGAUCAGAUUUUUGACCCACUGAUCCUUUUUUAAAAACCCAAUAAAAAACUCAGUUUUUAAAAAAGAAAAGCAUUUUAAAUUUUCACAAAAACUAACCUGACAACGUCAUGCUCUGAGAGAGCCUAAACAUAUGUAUCGUCCAUAUAAAUGUACCCCCGUGUAAAAGAUGUGUUACACAAUACUACGAAUAUUUGUUCACUAUAUAGGCACUAAGACAUCCCCCAUCCCUAUAUAUAUAUAUAUAUAUAAUAUAAUAUAUAUUUAUAUACUUGAAUGUGUGCCCACGCCCCCAUGUAAACCCCCCACCCCACUCGUUUUAUAAAUUUAUAAAACGCCAACUGUUGAGAAACCCCUUAUGACAACAUGAUAAUAUAUUUGAAAAUUGUAGAUAUUAUAAUGUAGAAACGAACGUUGAAAAUCGAAUUAAUUUAUUUAAAUUUUUUUUUCACUUUAAUACAUAACAAACGUGACAUAUAAUUAGAGUUACAGUUUUCCCUAUUGCCGAUCCGUACUAUAUAUAGGAAUAAUGUCGAUUUGUUAUGUGUUAAAUAAAAAAAAAGAAAAACGAAAGGUGCCACUAUUUUUUUAGGUACCACGGCCUGUAUUUUACGAAUUUAUUAAUGAAAAUGCGCCUACAUUUUUAUUAGUCUGGCCCUAGCUUGUAAGUAGGGUCGGACUUUCUACUUUUAAAUUUUUUUUUUAAAAAUGAUAAUAUGCCCAUUGAGAUGGUACUCUUUUUCACCUACUUUUUGCUGACUUAGUCGAUAGUGAAAUCAAAUUUUUGGUACCACCGAUGGUUCUUUUAAAAUUGGACAACUUUCUUAUAAGAGUCCCAUGUCGAUAAUUGAACCACUGAACCAGCGACAUGGAACUUUUUUGUAAAUAAUUCAGAGGGAAAUCAAAUUUUUAGUACCACUGACGGCUCCCUCAAUAAUUAAAAACAUUGUGAAAAAUCUUAACAAACUCAUCAAGGUGGUACGUUUUUCAGCUACUAUUUCCUGAAUAACUCAGAAGUAAAAUCAAAUUUUUAGUACCACGGACCGUUUGCUCAAAAUUAUAACUUUCUCAACAAUAAACUCAUCAAGAUGGUAAGGGAAACUGUUGUACUUUGUACCACAUUUUUUCUAAUUUUUUUUUAACUACAUUUUUGCGUCUAUAAAUAUGUCCAGUUGUUGUCUACGCUUUUUUAUACAAAUUUGCAUUCAAGAAUUUAGUAUAUCUACUUAAGAAAAAAAAACCAUUUAAAACUAUUGCAUAGUGGUCCAUGGUACAUAGUGGUACAUGGUCCUUGAGCCAAGCAUUGAACAUAGUUGUACAUAAAUUGUUUGUUUUUUCAAUCACACACAAAGUAACAUUAAAGUUGGUGUACAAAAAUUCUUUUUUAGAUAGUAUUAAUAGAUACAAAAAAUAAUUUGCUUAAUCUAGUUUUACAAAAAUCACCAAAGUAGUCCUUCCACUCUUCUCCUUCAACCUCUGCGAACACUACCACACUACUUACACUACUUUUCUCUACUUUUGUCGCUAAACUGUGAGAAAAAGCAGUAUACGCAUAUUUCUUCAUCACCACUGUCUUCAUUAUCAGUUGAUAUAAGAGACAUCACUUUAGAGUCAGACGAAGAACUUUAUACUUCUUUACUCAAGUUAACUUUUUUUGACUCUUUUUUUAGCUGUCUCUCUCCUUUCCUCUUAUUUUUCUUGCUAUCAUCCACCUGAGGGUAAGGCUGAACGUUUUCUGGGUAAGGAAUUUGUCUAUGUUUUAUUUGUAUUUGAUCUUGGCGUCUAAGGAACUGCAGAUGAAUGCGAAACUGACGAACAGUAAGUUAAAGUUUAGGGCCCAGGAUCUGAAGAUGCAUCAAUAACUGGAUAUAAGGCUGAAGACGUAAAUGGCACAGAUAAGAAUAACGAAGAGGAUGACAAACCUACAGCUAAAGGCAGAUCAGGAGGGCUGGAUCCAACUUUGUCAGUGGUUUAAGUCCCUUUAGUAUUUGCUGGCCUCUAUGUUCCUACAUGACCGCAAAGGAACGAAGAAAAUCUUCAUCAGUUGAUAUUAUUGAACGGGGAUAUUCCUGAUUUUCGAAAGCCGGACAAGAUAUUACCCGGAGUACAGGCACGAAGAUAUGCUGUUACCAAGACUCCUGCCACGUUGUAUAUAUCAAAGGUUUUUCCUUUGUUGUAGAAGCCAGGUUCCAAGAGUUUGGUUGUAAUAGUUCCUCGAAGGUUCCUAGAUAGAGAGCUCUAAAGACUCCAGCCUAUGUGAGGUAUGUGGGGCAAAUAUAACAAUUACAAUACCUGCAUCGAAUGCUUUGCCAAAGAAUUGUCGGACCAAGAUCGAUUUCAUGGUUCUCUAGAAUUAACGGGACGCGAUCAUCCUUAGAUCUUUUUACAGCAUGCAUAAAACGACGCAAAAAUUUUAUAAACAAUUUUUGGUUUGACCAACCUGAUGAUUUUGCCGGAUCCUCCAAAAAGCAUCUUUUUUUUUAAAUGGACUUUUGGAAAGAUAAACAUUGGAGGCAACGAAUUAUCGAUCUCAUGCAAAUAACAGUUAAGAGGAUCCCUCUUUCAGCCGAAGGGGCAUUGCUUAGCUGCUUUACACCUUUCGGAGCAACUAUUCUAGAUUGGCCUUGAACCAAGCUCAGCCCUGUUUCAACCAGGUUUCAAAUUUGGAAAUUCAUUUCACCUUAAAGCAGUUUACACAACAUAACUUUCUUGAGUUUCCAUUUUCUAUUCUUUCUCAGAGUUCCUUGUACCAUAUGUGACCCUUAUUAAGAUAUGGCUGGCAUAGUUUCGUAACUACUGAUUGGGCAUGACCUGCAUUCCCGUCGACUAUUCCUUUUCCAAUGCAUACCAGACAAUAAAGUAUGUUUCCAUGGGAUAACACACUUUUUGUAUGUUUCCUUUAAUGUUCUCACGACCUCUUCGACUUUGUAUAAACGGGAUGUUUUUUCAUCUUCUCUCGACAUAUUUAAAUCUGUUUCUCGACAUUGCUCUGCUACAUACUGGAUAAGCAUAGAGUGGCUGAGUAUUCUAAUAGGAUUCCAAUAAACCGGCAAAACUCUUUAGAAAAAAGUGGCUUCUACCUGUUCAUUGUAAUAACACAUUUCCCACAAUCGCCAUUUCUUGAAGAUUAUAACCCAAUCGCAAAUUUUUCCCAUGAGAGUCUGAUCGAACAAGAGCCAAUACAAAUACCUCAGAUGCAGAAGAAUCAGCCGGAAUGUUUACUUUUUAUCUUAAAUUACAGUAAAAUCAGAGGUUUUUUUAGGUUUUUCGUUCUUCUCUACUCAAAAUGAAACAUCUUCCGCUGCUGGAUUGUGUGAAUGGUGUUCAUUGCUAUCACUAUCAACAUACUCUGCACCAUUAACUUCACAAUUUUCUUCGCUGGAGUCCGAUUCAGAUCAUGGAUGGUGAGUACUGUCGAAGUCUUAAAACGGUUCUCCAAGCGUUUCCUCAUCGCUUGAUACGUUCAUAAUUGCAUCGGCCUCAGCUUGAAGCUCGUCUUCUCUCAGAAAACGUGACAUCAUAUUAUGACACCUGCAAAUUAAUUUUGUAGAGAGCUUGAAUCUUAACUAGCCUAGUUCAUAAAUUGCAUAUGGCAAGUAGUAAGAAAUAACGCGUAUGACGCCAGGAAAAUAAACUACUAAUAUUCAAAUGGAGCUAUUCAUACAUUGCCGUAGAACGCAAUCCGUAAGAAGUAAAAGACGCAUGAAAUGGCUCAGUUUCAUUUUUUGCGUCUUUCUUCUUCCGAAAUCGUGAGUAAAUGGUAAUAAAAAUAGCAAAAAUCACUUCCAACUAAAUAAAUAAAGCCAUUAGUACGCAGAGAAAAUCAUAGAUUAAUACUACUACGAGUAUGUCAAUUAUUCAUAAAAUUAAAUGUGACUCCAGCUGACAAUAAAUGACUUUGAUUGGACAGACAUCAUAAAUUUUGCUACGUGUCUUAUUUCUUACGAUUUUAAUUUAUAAAUGCAUAGACUCCUUACUGCUUGUGAGUUAUUUAUUACGUUUUAUUUCUUACUGCAUAAUGUACACAAUUUAUGCCAAAACUAUGUACGUGUCGUCACAUAAAACAUUUCCACCGAAACUCAAUUUUAUAUUUUUAUCUUAAACCAAGCGAUUCGCAUGUGUCAGGCCUAUCCAUAUGCAUCAAAAUUUUAGGCCUCUAUCUGUAGUCCAAAUGAUUUAUAUACCUAUUCAUUGAGUAUGAUCGAGCAACUAGCUCAUAUAUGAGAUGGCUUGUAGCAAACGUAUUAACCUCCGGUUCUCGAAUUGUUUUUCAUGUUGUUUCAAAAACCAUUUUAUCCAUUCUUUGCGGGUAAUUUCAUCAUCUUUCCAAAUAUCUGGUAUAUUUUUAUUAUUAGCUUUUGCAAAUUUAAAAGCCAACGUUUUGACACCCUUCUUUGUUAAACCAUACUGCAUUCUAGCUAUAGCUUGAAUCUAAGUAACAAGGCUUAAUUCGUCUUUAUCUGUAAAUGCUUUCCUCGCAGCAUAAUUGGCUGAAGACCGACAUUCAGUGUUUUCUGUAUUUUUAAAUUUCGGUAGUUUACCUGCUGAUAUUAAACACUUUUCACUUCUCUGUAGGUCGUUUAUCAUAUGCUGCAACGACUUGUACCAAGAUCCACGAUGAUGGAUGGAUUGAAGGAACACGAUAAUUUCAUCUUAUUUAAGACAGCUCCCCAUAUAGAACUGUCUAUUAAAAUUUACAAACAACAACAAGCAUUUUACUUACCAAAAACUCCACGUGUUUAAUCUGAAAUAUUUCUCGUUCAACAGUUUCACAAAAACUUUACUUUUACCACACGAAUUUGCGUUCUUUCACCAAAACUGUAAAGUCCAUUUGCACCGCUAUAAUGCAACUGAGGAGUUGUUUAGGUCAAGAUUGUAAGGAAGCAACAGAAUCCUGCUACUCAAAAUGGUCCCAGGUACACUAUGGUCUAGGUACAACAGUUUUACUCUUUUCAGCUACUUUUUUCUGAAUGAUUCAAUAAUGAAAUCAAAGUUUUAGAACCACAGACAGUUCUCCCAAAGAUAUAAAACUUCAAUCACAAUAAACCGAUUAAGAUGCUACCCUUUUUCAGCUUCUUUGUCCUGAAAAUUCAGGAGUAAAAUCAAUUUAUUAGUACCACUGAUGGCUCUUCUGUUGAACUGAAGUUUUUUAAAAACCACAAUAAACUCGUCAAGAUAGUACUCUUUUUCAUCUACUCUUUUUCUGAAUAAUUCAACAACGAUACCAAAUUUUUGAUAACACUGGGUGGGGUUGGAAAAAAGUCGAAUGGUACCACAAUGUUUUUUUUUUAGUACCAAGGCCUAUAUUUUACGAAUCUAUUAAUAAAGACGCGUUUUUAAAUCGAUUUUCUUUUUUUGCGAAGAAAAUUCCGUUAGUCCGUCCCUGGCCUAAGAAACGUUUUUACAAGGAGAAACGUGCUUUAAGGCGUGGCCUGUAUGCAGGGCCGGACUAUGGUUGUUUGGACACACGCAAAUUGGGCCUAGUAAUAUAACGAUUUCAACUAUAUAAAAUUAUCUGUACAGUUUUUUAUAUGUUACGUAGUAAAACCGUUUUAAGUAUGCGAACGCGCAUAGUGACCAAUCAUAAAGGGGUAUAUGGGAAAAAAACACAAACACUAACCUAACAUUUUUGCCCUUAAUUGAAAAAUCAUUCCAGUUCCCAUAUAACCCUUUAUUAACAAAAAAAAAUGUGUAAAUGUUAUAAUAUAUUUUUCCUGGUCAGUUAAUUAUUUCUAAUAUACAUAUAAAGUGUUGAACGUUUUUCGGACAAAUAUAAUUAUAUUAAGUGGAUCUUGACGCGUAUAUUUGUAUAUUAUUAAAGACUGAAAAAAUCCUAGUUUUAUUGUGUUAUAUAUAUAAAAAAAAUGAAAAAAGUAUUAGGUGAAGAUGACGUGGUGCGCCGCCAUUUUUUUUUCCUGUUUAGAAGUUAGAUUUAAUAGACCGGGUUUACAUAGAGCGUUAAAAGCGGGGGCGUAGGUUAGUGACAUUUUGGACCGGUUUGUGCAAAAACCUUUUGAGGUGACACGAUGUUUCGAAUGUCAAAAUCAUGUUCACGAAAUCGUUUGUGUUAUUUAAAAGUUUCGUGGGAAUAUAUUUUGUAGUUUUGGAAAUAUAAAGGAAAACUUGAUACCUUCAAUUUUUUCAAUUGGAUCACAUACUUCAUGACAAUUUUUCAGAUCACAAAUCAGAUCACAUGAUCCAUUUUGGAUCAAAAAUUGUCAUCGAUGGUUAUCGAUCUGGUUUUCAGCUAUUUUUUUUAUUGAAUAAUUUCUCUUGAAUAAUUUAUUGAUGAAAUCAAAUUUUUGGUACCAUUGACUGUUUUCACUAAUAACCCAAAUUCCCUUAAAACCACAAUAGUCCUACGACAUGGUCCUGCUUUUCAAUAUUUUUUUACCAAAUAGUUUAAUACAUACAUUUUUGGUACCGCUGAUAGAUUGCCCAAAAGCACAAAACUUUUUUAAAAAUCACAAUAGACACAUCGAUAUGGUGCCACCAUCACCAGUUCAGCAAUUUAUUUCUUAAUAAUUUGUGAUGUAAUGUAGUGCAAUAGAGUUUGGUCCAGGGUGGCCUGUUGCACUGCGACGAUUGUUGAUCUAUUGUGCUUCCCCUGAUCCUAUCUAUCCAAGACUUUCGCGAACAUCAUCGGCUCCUUCAGUGGGAGUGUCAACAGAUCCCUUUCACUCAACGUGUAUGUAUGUAGAAUCCUGUAUCUCCUGUCGCCCAGUGCUUCAGAAUAUGCUAUCAACUGUUCUAUCGAUUCCUCUUCCUCCCUGCAGAUGUUCCCCUACCAGCAUGCGUAUUGCGUAGGCUUUUUGUGUCUAGUCUUAAAGCUAGAAUCGCUCUUUCAACGUCGAAGCUCAGAAACUUUUUGGAAUGAACCAACCCAUUUCAAUGUCGCAUCAUCCUGAACGAUGUCCAUUUCACAAUCUGUCCUUUAAUACCUCUGUAGAAACCCAAAAGAUGAGGUUGGUCCAAUGAAGUUUUCCUCAGCCCUUUUUCCUUAGAUGUCCGCCAUGUCAUUCCUGACGUGCCCUGAUACCCAGACCAGGGUGUCAGAAAUAUCACUCGCAUACAUCAUGGUCUUGUGCCCUGUCCGGUUAAGGAGCCUGAUCAGGUUACUCGCCUCUACAGACCAUAGAAAAGGAGAUAGUAGACCUCCCUAUGAGGAUCCUUAAGGCGCACUGAGAUCGGUGAAUCAAAAUGUGGCCUUAAUUGACCUUUGGUUCAGCAUGCAGAUGACCCAUCUUAUGGUCGUAUAUCUUAUGGCCAGCUCAGCUCCUCUAUUAGAGAGCGCUGUUUUCAUUCGAAGAAAGUCCGCGUUAUUGAAGACGCCCUCAAUGUCCAUAAAUACACACAGUGCUAUUUUUUUUCCAAGGCCUUUUCGAAAUCCCUAACUAUUUUGUCCAAUGUCGUAAUAGUUGAUUUGCCCAUCUUAUAGGCGAAUUGGAAUGCGUUCAAUUGGUCUCAUGGAGAGUACCUUCAUCUGCUAUACUGGCCCAUUGUCUUCAACAUAAAAGAGGAUGGAUCAAUUCACCUGUAGGCCUAGGAGAUUUGAAAGGCCUGUUCCGAUUCUUGGAUAUAAACAUGACCCCUACCGCACUCCAAAUCCUUGAAACAUAUGCCAAUGUUAGGCUGGAUCGGCAAUCUCCUAAUAAAGAAUAGCAUUUCCUCCGUUCUAUCAUUCUAAUGAUGUUCGUUGCCUUUAGCCAAACAUGGGGUGAUGAAGAUACAAACCUGCAGUCAGGAAAGCAAGUUCUAAGAAGAAGUUCUAAUGUUCCUUAUUUUCAGUAUAUAUGCUUCUCGAAUUGCUCAUUUUUUACGUCCUUAAUAUGCGCUUAGGAAAGUUUCUAUAAUUUUCUUCAGGACUUCGUUAACUGCCUAUUAUAGGUGGUUAAGGCUUCCCUGUACCCUUCCUAAUUUCCAGUUCAUUUGACUCUUUUGAAUUCCAAUUUUGCUCUUCUAUCAAUUAGUUCAAAAAACGGUAUUUUCGUGUGAGUUAGUUUCUCUACGGAUGCAUCCAAUUCCUCAGGUGAUAUACUGGAAAAUGUGUUUCCAGUGAUUCUAGGCUGUAGAUCUGCGAGUAUCUCAACCAAUCUGUUGCCCUGGAGUUUAUAUAGAGCGAUUCACUCUUCAUCGGUACCCUGACUUCAAAAAGGAUGUGUUUAUGAUGAUACCACAUGGAGUUCUCUUCAGAGUCACUGAUCAUAUAGAAACAUUUGUUAGUUACAAUUUGAUUUUAGUUUGUAUAAUACCGAACUCAAAUUGGUGGUUCCACUGGCUGUGCUCACAAAAACAUGAAAUUUUAUUAAAAUUUAUAAUAGACCCCAUGGAUAUGGCACUCUUUUUAGUUACUUUUUUUGAGCCAUUUAAUAGUAAAUUCAAAUUUUUGGUACCCCUGAAGAUCCUCUCAAAUAGAUUCAAUAUUUUCAAAAACCAAAACAGACCCAUUGACAUGGUACUCGUUUUCAGCUACUUUUUCCUGAAGUAAAGCCAAAAAGACUAUUCUAUACUAUUCUCUUAAAAACCACAAUAAACCUAUCGACAUCGACUUUGAUUUACAAGGAGAAAAUUAAAUUAUUUUGAAUUAUAUGAACGUUUUUUUUUUGUUUCUUUCACAGCCUGUUCAAUAGUUCCAAAUACAAUACAAUGGUUUUUUAAUAACGUAACCUAUUUUUGACACAUGGAGCCGAAAAUGUCAUUUAAUUACGCUCCCAUUUUUAGUGCCUUAGUUGACAUACACUUAACGUGGUGGCAAUGUUUGGAAUCACAUUCUAAACGUCUCCGCCGCGAGCCAUUUACAUGUACGUAGCUGUCAGAAUGUACUUACUUUUCCUGUUAGCGUCUUUUUUGUAUUCUGUUCUUUUUUUAUUUUUUUGGUUGUGAACUCUGUUUUAAACGGAUUUUUUCACCAUCAGAACAUUGACAUUUUAGAAAUCUACUGUAUCGGCCUUGUAUUUAUUUUUAUCGUGUAUAUAUACGUACAUACUCUGUUGAUGUCCUAAAUUGUAUAUAAUUUAUUAAUUGUAUUUUGUAUAAUCGGUUUUUUAUUGAAAACAAAAAUUAUAGAUCGAAAAUUAUAUAAAUUUUUUCUGUCAUGUCAGUGUUUCAAGAAAAGUCUGUAUCACCCUGUAUAUGAUAGCAAAAUGUAUUAUUUAUUCUUCUUAGUUUGUAAUUAUACCGCUUUGCAAUGCAAUAAAAAUCGCAUACGAUGUAACA